RNAcentral lists this ribosomal RNA (1367 nucleotides) under uncultured bacterium. Its description in RNAcentral is "bacterial SSU rRNA". It matches the Rfam family "Bacterial small subunit ribosomal RNA", at positions 28 to 1381 of the family's 1533-position model. The record is from RNAcentral.
GACGAACGCUGGCGGCGUGCCUAAUACAUGCAAGUAGAACGCUGAAGGAGGAGCUUGCUUCUCUGGAUGAGUUGCGAACGGGUGAGUAACGCGUAGGUAACCUGCCUGGUAGCGGGGGAUAACUAUUGGAAACGAUAGCUAAUACCGCAUAAGAGUGGAUGUUGCAUGACAUUUGCUUAAAAGGUGCACUUGCAUCACUACCAGAUGGACCUGCGUUGUAUUAGCUAGUUGGUGGGGUAAGGGCUCACCAAGGCGACGAUACAUAGCCGACCUGAGAGGGUGAUCGGCCACACUGGGACUGAGACACGGCCCAGACUCCUACGGGAGGCAGCAGUAGGGAAUCUUCGGCAAUGGACGGAAGUCUGACCGAGCAACGCCGCGUGAGUGAAGAAGGUUUUCGGAUCGUAAAGCUCUGUUGUAAGAGAAGAACGAGUGUGAGAGUGGAAAGUUCACACUGUGACGGUAUCUUACCAGAAAGGGACGGCUAACUACGUGCCAGCAGCCGCGGUAAUACGUAGGUCCCGAGCGUUGUCCGGAUUUAUUGGGCGUAAAGCGAGCGCAGGCGGUUAGAUAAGUCUGAAGUUAAAGGCUGUGGCUUAACCAUAGUAGGCUUUGGAAACUGUUUAACUUGAGUGCAAGAGGGGAGAGUGGAAUUCCAUGUGUAGCGGUGAAAUGCGUAGAUAUAUGGAGGAACACCGGUGGCGAAAGCGGCUCUCUGGCUUGUAACUGACGCUGAGGCUCGAAAGCGUGGGGAGCAAACAGGAUUAGAUACCCUGGUAGUCCACGCUGUAAACGAUGAGUGCUAGGUGUUAGACCCUUUCCGGGGUUUAGUGCCGUAGCUAACGCAUUAAGCACUCCGCCUGGGGAGUACGACCGCAAGGUUGAAACUCAAAGGAAUUGACGGGGGCCCGCACAGGCGGUGGAGCAUGUGGUUUAAUUCGAAGCAACGCGAAGAACCUUACCAGGUCUUGACAUCCCUCUGACCGCUCUAGAGAUAGAGUUUUCCUUCGGGACAGAGGUGACAGGUGGUGCAUGGUUGUCGUCAGCUCGUGUCGUGAGAUGUUGGGUUAAGUCCCGCAACGAGCGUAACCCCUAUUGUUAGUUGCCAUCAUUUAGUUGGGCACUCUAGCGAGACUGCCGGCAAUAAACCGGAGGAAGGUGGGGAUGACGUCAAAUCAUCAUGCCCCUUAUGACCUGGGCUACACACGUGCUACAAUGGCUGGUACAACGAGUCGCAAGCCGGUGACGGCAAGCUAAUCUCUUAAAGCCAGUCUCAGUUCGGAUUGUAGGCUGCAACUCGCCUACAUGAAGUCGGAAUCGCUAGUAAUCGCGGAUCAGCACGCCGCGGUGAAUACGUUCCCGGGCCU